RNAcentral lists this ribosomal RNA (465 nucleotides) under Vreelandella stevensii. Its description in RNAcentral is "partial 16S ribosomal RNA". It matches the Rfam family "Bacterial small subunit ribosomal RNA", at positions 338 to 795 of the family's 1533-position model. Lineage: Bacteria; Pseudomonadati; Pseudomonadota; Gammaproteobacteria; Oceanospirillales; Halomonadaceae. The record is from RNAcentral.
CCUACGGGGUGCAGCAGUGGGGAAUAUUGGACAAUGGGCGAAAGCCUGAUCCAGCCAUGCCGCGUGUGUGAAGAAGGCCUUCGGGUUGUAAAGCACUUUCAGUGGGGAAGAAAGCCUUGGGGCUAAUACCCUCGAGGAAGGACAUCACCCACAGAAGAAGCACCGGCUAACUCCGUGCCAGCAGCCGCGGUAAUACGGAGGGUGCGAGCGUUAAUCGGAAUUACUGGGCGGAAAGCGCGCGUAGGCGGUCUGAUAAGCCGGUUGGGAAAGCCCCGGGCUCAACCUGGGAACGGCAUCCGGAACUGUCAGGCUAGAGUGCAGGAGAGGAAGGUAGAAUUCCCGGUGUAGCGGUGAAAUGCGUAGAGAUCGGGAGGAAUACCAGUGGCGAAGGCGGCCUUCUGGACUGACACUGACGCUGAGGUGCGAAAGCGUGGGUAGCAAACAGGAUUAGAUACCCGUGUAGUC